RNAcentral lists this long non-coding RNA (1301 nucleotides) under Felis catus (domestic cat). Its description in RNAcentral is "lncRNA (ENSFCAG00000043896.2)". Lineage: Eukaryota; Metazoa; Chordata; Mammalia; Carnivora; Felidae. The record is from RNAcentral.
CACGGGGGAAAGAAGAAUGUCAGCAAGUGUGGCUUUGGAUUACGAGGCGGUUUCUUUUUUUUUUUUUAAUUUUUUUUAACGUUUUAUUUAUUUUUGAGACAGAGAGACACAGAGCAUGAACGGGGGAGGGGCCGAGAGAGAGGGAGACACAGAUUCGGAAACAGGCUCCAGGCUCUGAGCCAUCAGCCCAGAGCCCGACGCAGGGCUCGAACUCACGGACCGCGAGAUAGUGACCUGAGCUGAAGUCAGACGCUUAACCGACUGAGCCACCCAGGCGCCCGGAGGCGGUUUCUUAAGGGGAGGCUGUGUGGGUAUGAACAGCUCCUGAGUUGCCUUCGGAGGCGGACUGACGCCCGCCUCCGUGCGCUGCCGGGCAGAGCCGGGCCGGGGCUGCUUGGUGUCCCGAGGACGGCGAGUCUCUACUCUUUUCUCGCCACACGCCCCCCUCGGCUGACCUGGACGCGUCCCACUUGGGUGGUCCCGGCGUGCGGAAAGGGUGUCGUUCACCUGCAACUGCUUUGUGACGGAGCGUUCCUCCCCGUGACGAACCUUGGUGGCGUUUGGCAGGACGAGCAGCACGGGUGGCCCUGCCUUUCAGGCACCCACGUGCCAGGAAACAGCAGAGACAAAAGAGAAAACUCUGUAACCAUUGGCCUCCACCCAGGAACCUGGAAGAAAAUGAAGCAAGACAAACAACAGAGAAAUGUGAACAGCAAAAGAGCGAACUCAGAUGCAUUAAAUGGCUUAACAGUCUUAUGCUACAGCCCCAGCAGAACCUUCUUUGAAAGACCACAACAACUGCAGUGAUUAAAAAGGAGCCUGAUUCUCCCAGAGCCUAAGCUCCCGGGAGGGGGAGGAAGGUCAAGUGAGGAAUUUGAAGAAGCCAUGUUAACCUUUUCAAUUACAAAAUGCCUGCAGGGACUUGAUUCACGAAACCAGGCUGAAGACCACAAGCAUUUAUGAUCCUUCUAAAUAUACCCAAUGAGCCUCCGGAAGUAUCUCAGGUAGUCAGAACCCAGCUCUGUAAAACACAUAAAUACAUUUUAAAUAGCAGUAACUGUUUCCACCCUUCUAUUUUUUUUUUUUUUUUUUUAUGAGUGCGCUCCAAAUAGAAAUGUUGGCGGUCACCCCUUUCAUACCACUAUUUAUAUUGAACUUAUCAGCAUAUAAAUGGAAGCACGGGUAGGUUCACAGAGCAGGUCUUGGGUUAUUUGCUUUCAACUUCAGAGCCAGACAGUCCUGAGUUCCUAGUGACAGUGAAAAGAGAGACACAAGUAAGCGUUCUCGCCUCCGCUGCGGCU